AAUGGUUAAUUCCUUUGCUCAACGGCAACCACCGUCCACCGUCCACCUCUUUCUAUCUCCCCUCAUCUCCAUUUCUUCAUCUUCUUUAAGAUGAAUGUCGAGAAGCUCAAGAAGAUGGCCGGUGCGGUCUGCACUGGUGGAAAGGGUAGCGUGAGAAGUUAUGAUUUUUUUUUUUAGCAUGCUGCUAAAUUAUGGCUAGGAAUUGUGGUUAAAUGUUUCAGUAGUUAUAGAAAUGCCUGUUAUUAAUGACGUGCUGUUGAAAUUCCAUUUGAAAAUAAUAACUAUGCAUACAUCACUUGGAUAAGAAACCUAGUUGGGUGAUUAGUUGUGUGUGUAUAUGUCAUUACUGUACAUUUGUUCUGUCGUUGUAUCGAUGAACUCGUCUAAAUAUAUGGCUUUUUAUCAUUUAUCCAGCUCAAUGCUGCCUUCAUUAAUGAGUUUUUUCUUGUGUGCUUUGGAGAGUUACAUGUCUCAGUCUGAUGGAAUUAUGGAUGAAAUGUCAUUUCAAGUCAUGAUUAGGAUGUCAAUAUACUUGUGUGGAUUAGGAUGGUGUAGUUUUGCGAACUGUGUUUUCCCAAUGAUUCUGUUUAAUGUGAAUUUUCUUGUUUGAACCUUGUUGAAUAACUAUAUACAACUAUACAAUUUUAAACUUUAGUAUGAAUUUAAUAGAAUUUAUUUUUUUUUUCUAUUAGAUGCCCCAACACUUUGUAGGUGUUUUGUCUUGGUUCUUUUUUGAUGUUCUUCUGUUACACUUUCAUUUGGUUCUUUGUAUUGGUUUCUAAUGCUAUGAUUUUUAUACAGGUAGCACAAGAGAUUAACUUAGAGGCAAAACUUCAGAGUGACUUUGUAGAUCAGUUGAUUAUACUACAAGAAGUGCCCU
Molecule: long non-coding RNA, 880 nt
Organism: Chenopodium quinoa (quinoa)
Lineage: Eukaryota; Viridiplantae; Streptophyta; Magnoliopsida; Caryophyllales; Amaranthaceae
Exons: 3
Source: RefSeq, a predicted model, not a curated record